UUUGGCUGUGAUGACAACUUGCCCUCACUGUGAACUUGUUCUGUGAUGAGAAUACCACUGUACUCAAUUCUGUCUGAGCCAUA
Non-coding RNA from Pelobates cultripes (western spadefoot toad), 83 nucleotides. The record is from the annotation of a GenBank genome assembly. Lineage: Eukaryota; Metazoa; Chordata; Amphibia; Anura; Pelobatidae.